Molecule: ribosomal RNA, 581 nt
Filed under: uncultured Sebacinales
Lineage: Eukaryota; Fungi; Basidiomycota; Agaricomycetes; Sebacinales
Description: eukaryotic LSU rRNA
Rfam family: Eukaryotic large subunit ribosomal RNA
Source: RNAcentral
CCCCCAGUAACGGCGAGUGAAGAGGGAAAAGCUCAAAUUUUGAAUCUGGUGUCUUUGGCACCCGAAUUGUAAUCUAGAGAAGUGUUUUCUGUGUUGGACCAUGCACAAGUCCCCUGGAACGGGGUGUCAUAGAGGGUGAGAAUCCCGUACAUGGCAUGGACUCUGACACUCUGUGAUACACUCUCAACGAGUCGAGUUGUUUGGGAAUGCAGCUCAAAAUGGGUGGUGAAUUCCAUCUAAAGCUAAAUAUUGGCGAGAGACCGAUAGCGAACAAGUACCGUGAGGGAAAGAUGAAAAGCACUUUGGAAAGAGAGUGAAACAGUACGUGAAAUUGUUGAAAGGGAAGCGUUUGAAGUCAGUCAUGUCAUUUGGAAUUCAACCGAGCAGACAUGCCCGGUGUACUUUCCUAUCUGACAGGUCAGCAUCAGUUUUGGGUGGGGGAAAAAGACAUAGGGAAUGUGGCUGUCUCCGGGCAGUGUUAUAGCCCUGUGUUGUAUGCCUCAAUUAAGACUGAGGAGUGCAGCGCGCCUUUUUAGGCCUGGGGUCUUGCCCCUUGAAUCGCGCUUAGGAUGCUGGCAUAA